GACUGGAUAGCCUAGUGGUCAAAGGCAGUGCUUCUGACAAUGAUGAGGUCCCAGGUUCAAAUCCUGGUCUAGUCA
This 75-nucleotide transfer RNA is filed under the name Cronartium comandrae C4. RNAcentral describes it as "tRNA-Val (GAC) (tRNA-Val-GAC-3-1, tRNA-Val-GAC-3-2)". It matches the Rfam family "tRNA". Rfam says of the family: Transfer RNA (tRNA) molecules are approximately 80 nucleotides in length. Their secondary structure includes four short double-helical elements and three loops (D, anti-codon, and T loops). Lineage: Eukaryota; Fungi; Basidiomycota; Pucciniomycetes; Pucciniales; Coleosporiaceae. The record is from RNAcentral.